GGAGAGAUGGCCGAGCCGGUCGAAGGCGCUCGCCUGCUAAGCGAGUAGGGGAUUACAAAUUCCCUCGAGGGUUCGAAUCCCUCUCUCUCCG
RNAcentral lists this transfer RNA (91 nucleotides) under Actinomycetota bacterium. Its description in RNAcentral is "Actinobacteria bacterium tRNA-Ser". It matches the Rfam family "tRNA". Rfam says of the family: Transfer RNA (tRNA) molecules are approximately 80 nucleotides in length. The record is from RNAcentral. Lineage: Bacteria; Bacillati; Actinomycetota.